GCUUAAUUAGUAUAAAAAUUACAUUUGACUUCCAAUCAAAAAAUCUAAACCUUAGAUUAAACA
This 63-nucleotide transfer RNA is filed under the name Scolytinae sp. BMNH 1040052. RNAcentral's name for it is "tRNA-Gly". It matches the Rfam family "tRNA". Rfam says of the family: Transfer RNA (tRNA) molecules are approximately 80 nucleotides in length. Their secondary structure includes four short double-helical elements and three loops (D, anti-codon, and T loops). Lineage: Eukaryota; Metazoa; Arthropoda; Insecta; Coleoptera; Curculionidae. The record is from RNAcentral.